GGGUGAAGUCGUAACAAGGUAACCGUAGGGGAACCUGCGGUUGGAUCACCUCCUUACCUUAAAGAAGCG
This 69-nucleotide ribosomal RNA is filed under the name Escherichia coli. RNAcentral's name for it is "partial 16S ribosomal RNA". The stretch from base 1 to 56 matches the Rfam family "Bacterial small subunit ribosomal RNA", at positions 1478 to 1533 of the family's 1533-position model. The record is from RNAcentral. Lineage: Bacteria; Pseudomonadati; Pseudomonadota; Gammaproteobacteria; Enterobacterales; Enterobacteriaceae.